This 492-nucleotide ribosomal RNA is filed under the name uncultured archaeon. Its description in RNAcentral is "bacterial SSU rRNA". It matches the Rfam family "Archaeal small subunit ribosomal RNA", at positions 161 to 656 of the family's 1478-position model. The record is from RNAcentral.
UCAAGAUUUCUGGAAUGAUUCUUGGUCAAAAUCUAUAUGGCCUCUGGAUUGGACUGCGGCCGAUCAGGCUGUUGGUGAGGUAAUGGCCCACCAAACCUAUAACCGGUACGGGCUCUGAGAGGAGAAGCCCGGAGAUGGGCACUGAGACAAGGGCCCAGGCCCUAUGGGGCGCAGCAGGCGCGAAACCUUUGCAAUAGGCGAAAGCCUGACAAGGUUACUCUGAGUGAUUUCCGCUAAGGGGAUCUUUUGACACCUCUAAAAAUGGUGUAGAAUAAGGGGUGGGCAAGUCUGGUGUCAGCCGCCGCGGUAAUACCAGCACCCCGAGUGGUCGGGACGAUUAUUGGGCCUAAAGCAUCCGUAGCCGGUUUUACAAGUCUUCCGUUAAAUCCAGCCGCUCAACGGAUGGGCUGCGGAGGAUACUGUAGAACUAGGAGGCGGGAGAGGCAAGCGGUACUUAGUGGGUAGGGGUAAAAUCCACUGAUCCAUUGAAGA